Long non-coding RNA from Anolis carolinensis (green anole), 1838 nucleotides. NCBI's taxonomy places the organism in Eukaryota, Metazoa, Chordata, Lepidosauria, Squamata, Anolidae. The record is from Ensembl.
AUGAUCAAGGGUCUGGAGAAUAAUAGCUUUAUAAACAAGCACCUUGGUAUCCCUAUGGAUGUCCGGAUCCUCAAACACUCUCUGCUUCAUUUGGAAAAAUGCUGUGCUUGCAGAGCUCAGGCGGCUUUGUAUUUUAGUGUCAGUAUUGACUUUUGUGGAGAGGUGGCUGCCAAGGUAGUGGAAAUGGUCAACGUUUUUUUUUCUGGGUUUGGGGAAAUGUUUUGGUUUGCUGCUGGUACUAUAAGAAACAAGGUUUCCGCUACCUUGUUUCUUAUAGUAUCAGCAGCAAACCAGAACAUUUCCCCAACCCCAGAAAAAAAGGAAAAAGCCCAGCUACUACUGUGGCUAAUGCUAAUAUAAUAGUGAGCACUCUUCCAAGGAACUCUUGGUGAAUUUCUUGUUUUUAUUUUGCAUAACACAAGCUCACAAAGAUGAAUUCCCUGCUCUAUUUCUUUGCUUACAAGUGGAAAGAAAUCAAAGGGGAGGCAAUUUGCUUACACACCUAGAUGAAAGCCUGCAUUGUGUGUGUAUCAUUCCUGUGAAGGGAUGAAAUUGAUUUAACAUGGAAAACAGUUUGAGCACAGUAAACAUUUAGAACAAUGUGUUUUCUGUGUGAUUAACAUAGUCAUUUCAUGACAGAGUUCAACAGUUGCAAAUUAAGCCAUAUUUAUCAAUCACAAAGCAAAGCACUUUAAAUACAAAAUACAGGAGAGUCUCGCUUAUCCAACCUUCACUUAUCCAACAUUCUGUAUUAUCCAACACAGUUUGCUUUUUAGUAGUCAAUUUUUUGUAGUCAAUGUUUUCAAUACAUUGCAAUCUUUUGGUGCUAAAUUCGUAAAUACAGAAGCAUUAUUCAAGCUACACCCACUGUAUGAAAUGAGAAAAUAAAAUAAAAUCAACAAGGAAAGACUUGUAUCCUGGAUUAAUUUAUUACAGAACAAGCUGGAGACUGGAAGUGGCAGAAUCCUACUACUGGUCAUAUGCAGCUCCCAACUGAGACCAUCCAAAUGCACCAUCAAUUAAUUUUAAUCUGUUUUGGAAAAUAAUGCUGCCCUCUUAAAAGCUCUUGGUGGCAGACUUUUACUUGCUUAUGGAUGGCCUGCCAAUAUCAAACAGUUGCCAAUCUGUAGAAGGGCAUGCUGCAUGAAAUGGGAGAAGGGUACAAGAUAAUGCCACAAACUCAGAUGCCAGUUCUGCCCACACAUCCACUUGGGAAGUAUCAUCACAGGACCUAAUCACAUCAUCUUCACUUGCCCAUCUUCUAAUGUGAUAUUUGCCAAUCUCUGUCAUCAUGGCCCAUCAGCACUCUACAUUUGGGAAAAUAGGAUAGCCUCUAUACUAUGGGAUAAAUAGAUACAAAUUGACAUUAGGAAUGGGAAUACACACACACACCAGUUCCAAUACACUUCUAUCUUUUUGCACAUUUUAUCUUGGAUUGAUUCAGGGCAAUUGUCCUUGAACCAAAAAAAGAACCCAUCAAAGAUGUUAAAAUAUUGCUUCACAUUUUGCAUGCAUCUGUCCGUUCUUGGAUAAUGCAUAUCUUUCCAUCAUUGCCUUCAAUAUGCCAUUUGAUCUUCUGGGAUUGUGGAAACAGCAGGCACAUUCACAGACAUGCUACUGGUUGCACAGCAUCAGUAUUCAGCAGAAGGGUAAUAUGGAACAACAGCAAUUUGAAUUAUAGAUUUUUGCUACACACAUUAUGAUGUAGAUAGGGCCUUGGUUAGAUGUCAUUCACCACUUGAGGGAGCACCUUUGCAAAAAAUGCACUACAUAUGUAGUUUUGACCUUUAAUUCUUAGAACAAAUAUUCACCUCUGUUGCCUUGAGCAUGUCCUGUUG